GGGGCCACUCCCACAACGCAGGCGAGGCGGAAGCGGUUUAGGGCAGAAGUUGGAAGGCAAGCUGUGAAUUUGGGCAAACUCGGGGAGAUAGUGAAGGAUAGAGGAGCCUAGCGUGCUACAGUCCAUUGAGUCGCAAAGAAUCGCACACAACUUCGCGACUGAACAACAACAACGGAGGGCCUAUGAGGCGAGGGGCGAAGGCCGGAGGGAGGCGGGCCCUGGAGGAGGCGAAGAGGGGCUAAGACCCCGGCUUGAGUUUGUGUGAGAGUUCAAUGUCACAGGUGUAGGCGCUGGGAGGAGGAAGCCGUACCUGUAGGGGCGUGGCCGCAUCUAAGUGGACCGGAGCCUUGCCUAAAGGGCGGGGUCUGCGACCAGGGUUGUGGAAUGGAAGUCUUAAGUGUGAUUCCAAACCUCCUUAGAAUCUGAUCCCUCACUUGGGCAGUUCCGAUCUGCCCAGUCCCAUCUGGCCCCCGGUCCUGAGUUGCUCCUGGGUGGUGUACCCUAGGUGCCAAGGUUAAGGUAAAGCGUGGCACUACUUGCGAUUUCUUCGUUCUAUCACGGUUCUCACACUCUGCUUUCUCUUUCCUAGCGAGGGAUGGAACCAUUCACUCACUAAGCGCUUCGGUCUAGACCGCUUUUCUUCGGAGAACUCGGUACCACCCUUCCCGCAGAAAUCUGCUCAGCUGUUAAUCACGGGAGAGAGUCUCCUGACCAACGUACCUAAAAUUAAAGUUCUCUGCCGACCUCCCGCCGGCAUCCUCUAACCCUCUUGUUGUCUUCGUAGUUCCCGCCGCCGCCUGGCAUCACACCCACAGAAGGCAUGACGCAGACCGCUGGUGGGAGCUGAGGGAAGACAGUGUGAACACGGGCUGAGACUUGAGGGUGGGGAAGUGCGCUGAGUAGGCGGCGCGUUUGCAGUUAACUCUAGAGGAUUGAUUGGGCUACCCUGGUGGCUCAGAUGGUAAAGAAUCUGCAGGCAAUGAGAGAGACUCGGGUUCGAUCCCUGAGUUGGGAAGAUCCCUUGACGAAGGAAAUAGCAACCCGCUCCACUCCAGUAUUCUUGCCUGGUGAAUCCCAUGGACAGAGGAGCCUGGAAGGCUACAGUCAAUGGAGAUAGCAAAGAGGCGGACACAACUGAGCGACUAACACACACAUAACAAUGCUGGGGAGAGAUUGAGGGCUCCUGCAGAGGGCAAGAGGCACUCCAGGAACAUCGUGGGAUCACACUGCCUGUCACACCCUCCCAGGACCCUGAGCCCCAAAACAACCCAGCCUUGGGACCCUAGCCUGCCCAGUCUUCAGAGAUGUGAUACCAGCCAAGAUCAUUUAGGCAACUGGGAAAACAGGAGAAUGGACAGUAUGUCUGAGGAGCUUCCUCUGCUGGUGACUGAAGGGGACUCAGAUUUGAACCUGGCACCUGAAGAUGGAGGAGGCCACCUUGAAGGAACAAAGAAUAGCCACAAGGAGCUGAGAAGGAUCCCUGGCCAACAGGAAAUGAGGAUCCCAGCCCUACAACCACAAGGAGCUGAAACCUGCCAACAGCAGUAAUGAACUAGGAAGAGGAUCCCAAAUGCCAGAGGAGAUCACAACAGCUGGAAACUUUGAUUUUACCCUUGUAAGCACUGCUCAAAGAACCCAAUCAUGCCAUCCUGGAAUUCUAACCUGCAGACCUGGGAGAGAAUAAAAGGAUAUUGUUUUAAGACACUAAGUGGUCAUGAAGUGAAAGUUGCUCAGUCGUGUCCAACUCUUUGUGACCCCAUGGACUAUACAGUCUAUGGAGUUCGUCAGGCCAGAAUGCUGAAGUGGGUAGCCUUUCCCUUCACCAGAGUAUCUUCGCAAACCAGGGAUCAAACCCAGGUCUCCUGCACUGCAGGCAGUCUUUACCAGCUGAGCCAUGAGGGAAGCCCAAGUGGUCUGAUGUUACAAUAACAGUGGAAAGUGAACACACCAACUGCUGGGUACAUUCACACACGUGAAGGGGCAGGUCAGGACAGGCCAGCAGAUAAAAGAGGCCCAGGAGGACUUGGAGUUGACGAUAAUCACCCCCACCUCAUCAGGUUGUGGA
Molecule: long non-coding RNA, 2065 nt
Organism: Dama dama (fallow deer)
Lineage: Eukaryota; Metazoa; Chordata; Mammalia; Artiodactyla; Cervidae
Exons: 3
Source: RefSeq, a predicted model, not a curated record